AAAGGAAUAGACGGGGACCCGCACAAGCAGCGGAGCAUGUGGUUUAAUUCGAAGCAACGCGAAGAACCUUACCAGGGCUUGACAUGCCCCUGACCGACAUAGAAAUAUGUCUUCACCGACCGGUGCAGGGGACACAGGUGGUGCAUGGUUGUCGUCAGCUCGUGUCGUGAGAUGUUGGGUUAAGUCCCGCAACGAGCGCAACCCUUGCCUUUAGUUGCUACCAUUAAGUUGAGAACUCUAGAGGGACUGCCGAUGAUAAAUCGGAGGAAGGUGGGGAUGACGUCAAAUCAUCAUGCCCUUUAUGUCCUGGGCUACACACGUGCUACAAUGGUCGGUACAACGAGCAGCUACCUAGCGAUAGGAUGCAAAUCUCUAAAAGCCGAUCCCAGUUCGGAUUGCAGGCUGCAACUCGCCUGCAUGAAGUCGGAGUUGCUAGUAAUCGCGAAUCAGAAUGUCGCGGUGAAUGCGUUCCCGGGUCUUGUACACACCGCCCGU
Molecule: ribosomal RNA, 495 nt
Filed under: uncultured bacterium
Lineage: Bacteria
Description: bacterial SSU rRNA
Rfam family: Bacterial small subunit ribosomal RNA
Source: RNAcentral